This 690-nucleotide long non-coding RNA is filed under the name Rattus norvegicus (Norway rat). Its description in RNAcentral is "long non-coding RNA NONRATT008212". Lineage: Eukaryota; Metazoa; Chordata; Mammalia; Rodentia; Muridae. The record is from RNAcentral.
GCUCCCUUACUUACCAACCUCUUCCCCUCCCCCCCACAUCCGGUGUUCCCGAACUGGGAUCCCCGGGUAGCCCCCUAAAAGCGACUGUUUCGGACCCUCGGAAGGGGAACUGACUAGGUUGCUUUCUUCCCGGAAUCAGUUUCUUUAGUUAGCUGACCCUCCCUUCCUAGAUCAGAACAAGUGCCUGGACCCGAGUUUACCUACUCUCCUUCUUCUUUAGGGUCCCACUACUUUGGAGAUUUUCGCAUAUUCCACAUACAUAGUCGAAUUCUGGUGUCCUAUUCCAUACCCCAUUCUAGUUACUCUCCCGCCCAAGCCCUCAUCAUCGAAGUCAAGAGCUACAGGGACUCUUCGUUCUUGUAGGAUUGGUGAGACCGUAAGAAGAACACCCCUUAGACGCCCAUAAUCGGUGCGGAUCCCCAUGGGGAAGGCUCGUUUUGUUGACAUCUACCAGGCUUUGGUUCUGAACCCAGAGAAGGCGGCUGUGGAGCUAGGGAAUAGCCAUGCUUUUGUAGGGUAAACGUGUUGGUAUUGAGGGGAGGGGAGAGGGAAUCCACGGAAAAGGAAUGGAAGUGGUUUAAAGCUCAUUUUAGUUUGGCUACUCAUAGAAUGUCAGCUUAUGAGUUAUUUACAGGUUGUAAUGUUGCUUCGGGCUAAAAAUAUGAACUCUUGGUAGAAACCGUAAAUGAA